RNAcentral lists this small RNA (109 nucleotides) under Marmota monax (woodchuck). Lineage: Eukaryota; Metazoa; Chordata; Mammalia; Rodentia; Sciuridae. The record is from RNAcentral.
GCUGGGUAUGUUGGCGUACACCUGUAAAUCCCAGCAGCUCAGGAGGCUGAGGCAGGAGCAUCACAAGUUCCAGGCCAGCCUCAGCAACUAUAGUGAGACCCUGUUUCAA